RNAcentral lists this ribosomal RNA (321 nucleotides) under Triticum aestivum (bread wheat). RNAcentral describes it as "partial small subunit ribosomal RNA". Lineage: Eukaryota; Viridiplantae; Streptophyta; Magnoliopsida; Poales; Poaceae. The record is from RNAcentral.
AUGAGGAGGUUCAUUGAGUGCUGCUUGCUUCUAUUUCGGCCUGAGACAUGUUUGAUGAACAGGUGGAACUGUCAUCACAAUGAAAACCAUGCUGCUGUUGUGGACGUGGUGGUGACAGGUUGGAAUCUGAGUAACGCUGAAGGAAAGAGAAGACCGGCAGGAGAGGUGACUUUCUUUAUACACCCCCACAAGUCCGAGUAUGGAUCCGCGAAGGAGCAGCCAAAAAGCUCACAUGUAUCAAUUCUUAUUUCUGAUGGCAUGGCUGCCAUUGCCAAACUUGUUCUUGAGAGUGAACACGGACUAUUGGCAGCCGCGCAAUAG